Molecule: transfer RNA, 73 nt
Filed under: Bos taurus (domestic cattle)
Lineage: Eukaryota; Metazoa; Chordata; Mammalia; Artiodactyla; Bovidae
Also listed under: 2 other names
Rfam family: tRNA
About the family: Transfer RNA (tRNA) molecules are approximately 80 nucleotides in length. Their secondary structure includes four short double-helical elements and three loops (D, anti-codon, and T loops).
Source: Rfam by way of RNAcentral
UCCAUGGUGGUCUACUGGUUAAGACUCUGUGCUUCCAAUGCAAGGGAUGCAAGUUCAAUCCCUGGCCAGGGAA